RNAcentral lists this ribosomal RNA (463 nucleotides) under uncultured bacterium. RNAcentral describes it as "bacterial SSU rRNA". It matches the Rfam family "Bacterial small subunit ribosomal RNA", at positions 28 to 524 of the family's 1533-position model. The record is from RNAcentral.
GAUGAACGCUAGCGAGACGCUUAACACAUGCAAGUCGAAUGCUGAUUUAUCAGCAUGGCAGACGGGUGAGUAACACGUGCUUAAUUUGCCCCGGAGUGGGGGACAACAUCGGAAACGGUGAUAAUCCCGCAUACGUUCCACAAAAUGAAAAUAUGUGGAAGAAAGAUUUAUCGCUCUGGGAGGAGGGCGCGUCUGACUAGUUAGUUGGUGAGGUAAUGGCUCACCAAGACGAUGAUCAGUAGCUGGUCUGAGAGGACGAACAGCCACAAUGGGACUGAGACAAGGCCCAUACCCCUACGGGGGGCAGCAGUGGGGAAUCUUGCGCAAUGGACGAAAGUCUGACGCAGCGAUCUCGCGUGAAGGAUGAAGCUUUGCGGAGUGUAAACUUCUUUCUGGGAGAAAACAACUGAUGGUAUCUACAGGAAUAAGGGACGGCUAACUACGUGCCAGCAGCCGCGGUAAU